UGGAAGCCAAUGGGAUGGAAAGAGCAGCUGUGUGGCAACGUAAGAGGAGGAUUGUAGGGUUUUUCAAGCUUACUGACGGACUUCUUCACCAAACCACUGUGUGCUGAACCACCCACCACAGCCACGGAGCAUGGUUUGGAUGCUUCUGUAAACCCUUCCGUGAAAAGAGGGGGGAAGUUGGAGUAUUCCUGCUCACCUCCAUCCCCAAGCAGGAGCAUGUCUGCACAUCCCAACCCAUGGACAGUCCUGCUGGCAGAGAGUGUCCUGCGUGUAAUCCUAUGGCAAAGCAAGCCAGUAUGUG
Gallus gallus (chicken) is the source of this 301-nucleotide long non-coding RNA. The record is from Ensembl. NCBI's taxonomy places the organism in Eukaryota, Metazoa, Chordata, Aves, Galliformes, Phasianidae.